AUGAAAAGCUGCCUGCACAGCCGGAAGCUGUCCAGGAAGACCGUUGAAUCACUGAGCAACCAACCAAUUCGCCGACCAGACGCUCCAGAACUACGAACUUCAGAAAUAAAGCUGGUGGCUUCGUUUGAAGACUCUUGCAGCUCUAAUGCCAAACAACAGACCCUCAGAAGUUGCUUUUACCAAAGCCCAAAGUGGCUUUGGUUAAACUCCCCAUCAUGCAGUUUUCUCCUGUGCCUGUCUUUAUGCCUACAGCCGACUCCUCAGCCCAGCCUGUAGUGUUGGGUGUCGAUCAUCAGGGCUCUGCCCCCGGUGCCGUGCACUUACUGCCCUUGUCCAUUGGAACCUUGAUCCUCGGCCUGGAUUCGGAAGCCUGCUCUCUCAAGGAGAGCCUCCCUCUUUCAAAAGUUGUAAAUCCUGUUGCUGUUGAGCCGAUUAGCACAGGUAUUCAAGUGAACUUGGGUAAAAGUCCAUUUAGCCCGUUACAAGAACUCAGGAACACAUGUCAGAAGAACAGCAUGUCUUCCAUCAAUGUGCAGACAGACCUGUCCUGCACCACACCACAGUUCAUGCUUGUCUGCACAGUGGGCCAGCCCUGACUCCUCUUUGGCGUCCUGUUCGCAAACUGAUUUGACAUUUGGUUCCCAGGUUUCCCUUCCCAUUAGUGUUCAAACUCAGACUUUUUGCCCAGUUCUAAGGUAACCUCAUCCAUCACUGCUCAGACUGAUGCAUUUAUAGAUGCCAGUUUUCAGCCAGGUGGGAUCUCCAGAGAAACUCAGACCAGUGGAAUGCAAAGUCCAGCAGAUGACCCAGUACAGAUGGACCAAGCUGUAAUGUGUGGAGACAUUUUUGAAAGUGUCCAUUCAUCAUAUGGUAUGUCUACAGACAAUAUUAUAAGGAGCAGCUUAGAAGCAGAGACUGUAACUCAUGCAUGACUUGUUACCUCAGAACCACCCUAAAACUUUAACCCAAGAUAUUGAGAAAUCCACACCAGUAAUAAACUUCAGUGCACCAAAUAGUAUGCUUUCGUCACAGAACAGGACAGAUAAUCAGACCCAAACCAUGGAUUUACUAAGUGAUCUAGAAAACAUCUUGUCAAGUAACCUACCUGGUCAGACGCUGGACAAUCGUAGUCUUUUGUCUGACACAAACACUGGACCUGACACCCAGGUCCCAUCUGACCCAGAAUCCUGCAAUUGAUUUUGAUAUCAAAGAGUUCUUUUCAACCUCAAAUAUACAGACGCAAACCAAGGAGAGUGAGCUUAGCAUCAUGACCACUGAGCCAGUCUUGGAGUCGCUGGACAUAGAAACCCAAACUGACUUCUUCCUUGCAGACCCUUCUGCCCAGGCCUACAGUUGUAGGGGAAUUCUAGCUUCUUAGGCCUUGUGAUGUUUGACACAUACUCACAGACAGACCUGAACUUCUUUUUAUACAGUAGCCCUUGUCUGCCACUGGGAAGUAUCCUGAAACACUACAGCUUUUCCAUGAGUACUGAUUCAUCUGACACAGAGACCCAGACUGACGGAAUCUCCAUUAUUAAAAAAAAAAAAAAAAACCUGCCUGCCCUGGAAAGCAAAGUUCAGUUGAACAGUGCCAAAACACAGACCAUGAACUCUGGCUUCGAAACUUUGGGAAGCUUAUUCUUCACCAGCAAUGAAACUCAGACAGCAAUGGAUGACUUUCUUCUGGCCGAUCUGGCCUGGAACACGAUGGAAUCUCAGUUCAGCUCUGUUGAAACCCAAUCGUGUGCAGAACUACACCCAGUCUCCAGCUUCUGA
Molecule: long non-coding RNA, 1776 nt
Filed under: Bos taurus (domestic cattle)
Lineage: Eukaryota; Metazoa; Chordata; Mammalia; Artiodactyla; Bovidae
Description: long non-coding RNA NONBTAT007381
Source: RNAcentral